This 457-nucleotide ribosomal RNA is filed under the name uncultured bacterium. RNAcentral describes it as "bacterial SSU rRNA". It matches the Rfam family "Bacterial small subunit ribosomal RNA", at positions 29 to 531 of the family's 1533-position model. The record is from RNAcentral.
AACGAACGCUGGCGGCAGGCCUAACACAUGCAAGUCGAGCGCCCCGCAAGGGGAGCGGCAGACGGGUGAGUAACGCGUGGGAAACUACCCUUUGGUACGGAACAACUCGGCGAAAGCUGAGCUAAUACCGUAUGUGUCCUUCGGGAGAAAGAUUUAUCGCCAAAGGAUGUGCCCGCGUCGGAUUAGCUAGUUGGUGGGGUAACGGCCCACCAAGGCGACGAUCCGUAGCUGGUCUGAGAGGAUGAUCAGCCACACUGGGACUGAGACACGGCCCAGACUCCUACGGGAGGCAGCAGUGGGGAAUAUUGGACAAUGGGGGCAACCCUGAUCCAGCCAUGCCGCGUGAGUGAUGGAAGGCCUUAGGGUUGUAAAGCUCUUUCGCCCGCGAAGAUAAUGACUGUAGCGGGAGAAGAACGCCCCGGCUAACUUCGUGCCAGCAGCCGCGGUAAAGGUAGUA